RNAcentral lists this transfer RNA (71 nucleotides) under Saprospiraceae bacterium. RNAcentral's name for it is "tRNA-Cys". It matches the Rfam family "tRNA". Rfam says of the family: Transfer RNA (tRNA) molecules are approximately 80 nucleotides in length. Their secondary structure includes four short double-helical elements and three loops (D, anti-codon, and T loops). The record is from RNAcentral. Lineage: Bacteria; Pseudomonadati; Bacteroidota; Saprospiria; Saprospirales; Saprospiraceae.
GGUCGGGUGGCCGAGAGGCUAGGCAGAGGUCUGCAAAACCUCCCAGAGCGGUUCGAUUCCGCUCUCGACCU